This 451-nucleotide ribosomal RNA is filed under the name uncultured bacterium. Its description in RNAcentral is "bacterial SSU rRNA". It matches the Rfam family "Bacterial small subunit ribosomal RNA", at positions 354 to 796 of the family's 1533-position model. The record is from RNAcentral.
GUGGGGAAUAUUGGACAAUGGGGGGAACCCUGAUCCAGCCAUGCCGCGUGUGUGAAGAAGGCCUUUUGGUUGUAAAGCACUUUAAGCGAGGAGGAGGCUACCGAGAUUAAUACUCUUGGAUAGUGGACGUUACUCGCAGAAUAAGCACCGGCUAACUUCGUGCCAGCAGCCGCGGUAAUACGAAGGGUGCAAGCGUUAAUCGGAAUUACUGGGCGUAAAGCGUGCGCAGGCGGUUAUAUAAGACAGAUGUGAAAUCCCCGGGCUCAACCUGGGAACUGCAUUUGUGACUGUAUAGCUAGAGUACGGUAGAGGGUAGUGGAAUUUCCUGUGUAGCGGUGAAAUGCGUAGAUAUAGGAAGGAACACCAGUGGCGAAGGCGACUACCUGGACUGAUACUGACACUGAGGUGCGAAAGCGUGGGGAGCAAACAGGAUUAGAUACCCCGGUAGUCC